This 450-nucleotide ribosomal RNA is filed under the name uncultured bacterium. Its description in RNAcentral is "partial 16S ribosomal RNA". It matches the Rfam family "Bacterial small subunit ribosomal RNA", at positions 354 to 796 of the family's 1533-position model. The record is from RNAcentral.
GUGGGGAAUAUUGGACAAUGGGCGAAAGCCUGAUCCAGCCAUGCCGCGUGUGUGAAGAAGGUCUUCGGAUUGUAAAGCACUUUAAGUUGGGAGGAAGGGCAGUAAGUUAAUACCUUGCUGUUUUGACGUUACCGACAGAAUAAGCACCGGCUAACUUCGUGCCAGCAGCCGCGGUAAUACGAAGGGUGCAAGCGUUAAUCGGAAUUACUGGGCGUAAAGCGCGCGUAGGUGGUUUUGUAAGUUGGAGGUGAAAUCCCCGGGCUCAACCUGGGAACUGCCUGCAAAGCUACUGAGCUAGAGUACGGUAGAGGGUAGUGGAAUGUCCUGUGUAGCGGUGAAAUGCGUAGAUAUAGGAAGGAACACCAGUGGCGAAGGCGAAUACCUUGACUGAUACUGACACUGAGGUGCGAAAGCGUGGGGAGCAAACAGGAUUAGAAACCCCGGUAGUCC